GAGAAGAUAGGCAAGCCUGCCACACUAGGGAGCGAGAGGUGUUUCUCAGCAACUGUCAGAAGCUCCUGAAAAAGUGCUCUUCCUUACUCCUUCAACCAAAUUCCUGUCUGGUUCAAGAAAUCGAGGGGUUUCAGAGAUGAGAAGAGCCGUUGUGAUGGAACAAGCCUUUUGUGCUCAUCCUUCAAAUUCCUGAGUACCUUACACAUAAGGAAGGUGAGAUUGAGGCCUAUCCAAGGUGGGAUAUGGGAGUCAAUCUCCAAGUAAUCGGAUUCAUUUUUUCUGCUGUGUGUCUGCUACCCCUGAAACUUUCUCUCAGCCCCUCCCCUAUGUUGUGCUUCACUUGCUGUACCUGGCUUCCUAGAAUCACAGACCUGCUGAAGAAUGUCUUACAUUCAAAGCUUGUCUUACUGUAUCCCAACUACAUGGCUGAACCAAUAAAAGA
Long non-coding RNA from Alligator sinensis (Chinese alligator), 442 nucleotides. RefSeq lists it as uncharacterized. NCBI's taxonomy places the organism in Eukaryota, Metazoa, Chordata, Crocodylia, Alligatoridae. The record is from RefSeq and is a predicted model, not a curated record. The transcript is spliced from 3 exons.